RNAcentral lists this ribosomal RNA (259 nucleotides) under uncultured prokaryote. RNAcentral describes it as "partial 16S ribosomal RNA". It matches the Rfam family "Bacterial small subunit ribosomal RNA", at positions 524 to 782 of the family's 1533-position model. The record is from RNAcentral.
UACGUAGGUGGCAAGCGUUAUCCGGAAUUAUUGGGCGUAAAGAGCGCGCAGGUGGUUGAUUAAGUCUGAUGUGAAAGCCCACGGCUUAACCGUGGAGUGUCAUUGGAAACUGGUCGACUUGAGUGCAGAAGAGGGAAGUGGAAUUCCAUGUGUAGCGGUGAAAUGCGUAGAGAUAUGGAGGAACACCAGUGGCGAAGGCGGCUUUCUGGACUGUAACUGACACUGAGGCACGAAAGCGUGGGGAGCAAACAGGAUUAGA